RNAcentral lists this ribosomal RNA (873 nucleotides) under Phillipsia crispata. Its description in RNAcentral is "partial large subunit ribosomal RNA". It matches the Rfam family "Eukaryotic large subunit ribosomal RNA", at positions 77 to 962 of the family's 3401-position model. The record is from RNAcentral. Lineage: Eukaryota; Fungi; Ascomycota; Pezizomycetes; Pezizales; Sarcoscyphaceae.
GCCUUNAGUAACUGCGAGUGAAGCGGCAAAAGCUCAGAUUUGAAACCUGCCGUAUUCUGCGGCUGGAUUGUAAUCUGGAGAGACAUCUUCCGUGGGUCUGGCUGGUCUAAGUUCCUUGGAACAGGACGUCAGAGAGGGUGAGAAUCCCGUAUCUGGCUGGCUCAGGCCCGCUUUGUGAAGUGUCUUCGACGAGUCGAGUUGUUUGGGAAUGCAGCUCAAAAUGGGUGGUAAAUUUCAUCUAAAGCUAAAUAUUGGCGAGAGACCGAUAGCGCACAAGUAGAGUGAUCGAAAGAUGAAAAGCACUUUGAAAAGAGAGUCAAAAAGUACGUGAAAUUGUUGAAAGGGAAGCGCUUGAGACCAGACUCGGGCUUAGGUGAUCAGCGGUGCUUCUGCUCCGUGCACUUGCCUAUGCCCGGGCCAGCAUCGGUUGCGGCGGCGGGAUAAAGGCCUGAGGAAUGUGGCCCCCUUCGGGGGGGUGUUAUAGCCCCAGGCGCAAUACCGCCAGUUGCGACCGAGGACCGCGCUUCGGCUAGGAUGCUGGCGUAAUGGUCUUCAGCGACCCGUCUUGAAACACGGACCAAGGAGUCUAACAUCUAUGCGAGUGUUCGGGUGUAAAACCCCUGCGCGUAAUGAAAGUGAACGGAGGUGGGAACCCUUCGCGGGGUGCACCAUCGACCGAUCCUGAUGUCUUCGGAUGGAUUUGAGUAGGAGCAUAGCUGUUGGGACCCGAAAGAUGGUGAACUAUGCCUGAAUAGGGUGAAGCCAGAGGAAACUCUGGUGGAGGCUCGCAGCGGUUCUGACGUGCAAAUCGAUCGUCAAAUUUGGGUAUAGGGGCGAAAGACUAAUCGAACCAUCUAGUAGCUGGUUCCUGCG